AUUGAACGCUGGCGGAAUGCUUUACACAUGCAAGUCGAACGGCAGCACGGGAGCAAUCCUGGUGGCGAGUGGCGAACGGGUGAGUAAUAUAUCGGAACGUGCCCAGUCGUGGGGAUAACGUAGCGAAAGCUACGCUAAUACCGCAUACGAUCUACGGAUGAAAGCGGGGGAUCGCAAGACCUCGCGCGAUUGGAGCGGCCGAUAUCAGAUUAGGUAGUUGGUGAGGUAAAGGCUCACCAAGCCGACGAUCUGUAGCUGGUCUGAGAGGACGACCAGCCACACUGGGACUGAGACACGGCCCAGACUCCUACGGGAGGCAGGCAGUGGGGAAUUUUGGACAAUGGGNGCAAGCCUGAUCCAGCAAUGCCGCGUGCAGGAUGAAGG
This 384-nucleotide ribosomal RNA is filed under the name uncultured bacterium. RNAcentral's name for it is "bacterial SSU rRNA". It matches the Rfam family "Bacterial small subunit ribosomal RNA", at positions 29 to 414 of the family's 1533-position model. The record is from RNAcentral.